GGAUUAUCAAGAAUGGCGUGCAGGAGUGUGUUGAGAACGGUAUUGUUAAAGGAACCAUGGUUAUCUCUUCCAAGGAAUCCCACCUCUUUUCCUCUACCAUUAUUUUAUAACCACAAAUCUUCUUUAUCCAUUUUCCCUUGUCGCUGUAAAUGUAAAUCCCCAAAUUAUAGAAGAACUCAGUUUCUUAAUUGCUCCAAUAACGGAAACCCAGAUGAACAGGGUCCUCCUCAAGAAGUUGUCCUUAAGGCCAUUUCAGAAGUGUCCAAGACAGAAGGGAGAGUUGGACAAACUACCAAUGUUGUUAUUGGAGGCACCGUGCAUGAUGAUUCAACUAAUGAGUGGCUAGCUCUCGAUAAGAAGGUGAAUUCUUACCCAACUGAAAGAGGCUUUACAGCUAUUGGUACUGGAGGUGAUGAUUUUGUGCAUUCUAUGAUUGUUGCUGUAGAGUCAGUGAUACAACAGCCCGUUCCCCAGGGACAGGUGAAGCAGAAGCUAUCUUCAGGUGGAAAAUACGUAUCAGUAAAUAUCGGACCCAUUCAAGUUGUUUCCAGUGAGCAGGUUCAAGCUGUAUACGAGGCCAUGAAGAGAGAUGUUAGGAUGAAAUACUUUCUGUAAACUACUUCCGUCACUACCUUUGUAUAUAAUGGCAAUACCUAAGAGAGUGUCAUUAUAUACAAAGGUAGUGAC
Molecule: unclassified non-coding RNA, 687 nt
Filed under: Hevea brasiliensis (rubber tree)
Lineage: Eukaryota; Viridiplantae; Streptophyta; Magnoliopsida; Malpighiales; Euphorbiaceae
Source: RNAcentral